Molecule: long non-coding RNA, 375 nt
Filed under: Lynx pardinus (Iberian lynx)
Lineage: Eukaryota; Metazoa; Chordata; Mammalia; Carnivora; Felidae
Source: RNAcentral
CGUACGUGUAGCCCUCGCCGAAGAAGUACUUGUUGCGCAGCGGGGCGCGGUCCACCGUGUGCUCGUUGUACAGGCCCUUCUCGGCGCGGGACACCACCUCGUCGAUGCGGGCCUCGAUCUUGGCGCACUCGUCCUGGCUGAAGAGGCGCAUCUGGCGAAUGCCGCUCUUCACCUUGCGCGCCUCCUCCUCCUUCUGCAGCUGCUGCUCCUCGUAGUCGCUGCGCUCGGGGUCCGAGUCCUCCUGGUAUUUGCGCUUGGCCCCGGACACCGGGUAAGGCUCGGCGGCGGCGGCGGCGGCGGCGCCCGCCGCUGCCUCCCGGCUGCCCGCCUUAUAGUUGUCCCGGGACGUCAUGGACUUGAGCUUCUCACGCAGGU